This 317-nucleotide unclassified non-coding RNA is filed under the name Bombus terrestris (buff-tailed bumblebee). RNAcentral's name for it is "misc RNA ENSBTSG00005029724.1". The record is from RNAcentral. Lineage: Eukaryota; Metazoa; Arthropoda; Insecta; Hymenoptera; Apidae.
AGGUCACAUUUAAAUUGUUUGUGUCGGUUUAUUUUAUCCAUUCGAUGUAUCCUGAUUAGUAUUAAUAUUGGAAUUUUUCGAUUUUAAAUUAUAGAAGUACUAACUAUUCAAUAGAAUCAAAACAUUAUUUGAAACAUAAGUUGGCUCAAUAUUUAAGCGACACUGUUGUGAUUUUAAAGAAGAAAAUGGAAGGGAUUGGUGGACCUGAAUUGAAUGUUUUAAAUUCGGCGAGAGAACGUAAAACUGCGCUGAUAACACCAAUAAACGUUUUAUAGAUUUUUAGAACGAUCGGACUCUUGACUUUUUGAAUUGCAGUU